Molecule: ribosomal RNA, 490 nt
Filed under: uncultured bacterium
Lineage: Bacteria
Description: partial 16S ribosomal RNA
Rfam family: Bacterial small subunit ribosomal RNA
Source: RNAcentral
GAUGAACGCUAGCGAUAGGCUUAACACAUGCAAGUCGAGGGGCAGCAUGGUCUUAGCUUGCUAAGGCUGAUGGCGACCGGCGCACGGGUGCGUAACGCGUAUGCAACUUGCCUCACAGAGGGGGAUAACCCGUCGAAAGACGGACUAAUACCGCGUACACUCUAUGUUGGGCAUCCAAUGUAGAGGAAAUGAAAUUCGCUGUGAGAUAGGCAUGCGUCCCAUUAGCUAGUUGGUGAGGUAACGGCUCACCAAGGCGACGAUGGGUAGGGGAACUGAGAGGUUAGACCCCGGCACUGGUACUGGGCCACGGACCAGACUCCUACGGGAGGCAGCAGUGAGGAAUGUUGGUCAAUGGGCGAGAGCCUGAACCAACCAAGUCGCGUGAAGGAUGACUGUGUUAUGGAUUGUAAGCUUCUUUUAUACGGGAAUAACAAGAGUCACGUGUGGCUCCCUGCAGGUACCGUAUGAAUAAGCAUCGGCUAACUCCGUG